This 251-nucleotide ribosomal RNA is filed under the name uncultured prokaryote. RNAcentral's name for it is "partial 16S rRNA". It matches the Rfam family "Bacterial small subunit ribosomal RNA", at positions 525 to 775 of the family's 1533-position model. The record is from RNAcentral.
ACGAACCGUCCAAACGUUAUUCGGAAUCACUGGGCUUAAAGGGUGCGUAGGCGGCCGGACAAGUUGGGUGUGAAAUACCUCGGCUCAACCGAGGAAUAGCGCCCAAAACUGUUUGGCUCGAGGAAGACAGAGGUGUGCGGAACUUAGGGUGGAGCGGUGAAAUGCGUUGAUAUCCUAAGGAACACCAGUAGCGAAAGCGGCACACUGGGUCUUUUCUGACGCUGAGGCACGAAAGCUAGGGGAGCGAACGG